UCAUCUAGACAAUUACCACUCUGAGCACUGUGCAGAGAGGAGGAGAUUUUGCUCUUGCCUGUCCUUAGAGACACUGCAGUCAGGGUGCUGAACUGCAGCUGUGCACCCUGGGGACCCACUCUGCUGUUCCAUCCCUCAAGUCCCAGGAAGCCCCCUGCAUCAUCAACCCCUGGGUCAGAGGCUAGAGAAGUGGCAAUGAGAAUGUGAACAGAGCAUUGCAGGGGAGGGAAAGACGGAGGACAGCAGGGGAGGAGGAGUUGCUGGGCAGCUCGGAACAGAGGGCAGGCAGAGGCUGAUGACAGCCCCAGGAGUAGCUUGGGCACAGGACAGACAGGUAAAACAAGAAGAAAGUAUCAGAAAAUAUCUGCCAGGGUCCUAGAUGGCUUAGUCCUGCUUCAUUUAAGACUGGAGAUGCUUGUAGUCUGGGCUUGGAGUCAGUAAUGGGAAAGAAUAUCAUCCUGGACAUGAUUUGGGGGAACCAGAGCAGCUCAGGGCACUUCUGCCCCCCUUGAACCUCCUCCCCAAGGUAGAGAGCCUACCCCUAAGACCUCCUCAUCCAGCUCUUCCUCUCUGAGACACAGAACCCAGGUUGUCUUAUGAGGAGACCAGCUUCAGUCUCAGCGAUCAGGACAAAGCAAUGGCCAGAGCAGAGGAACAGGACCUCCCGUCCAUCCUUUGGUGGAGACCCAAGCCUAGAGACUUGGAUGAAAACAUCCUAAAUAUGACAGAGAAAGAAAUGGUCUUCUCAGUGGAAAGCAGGAGGCCCUGAAGCCCGAGAUCUGGUGUCAACUCCUAUUCCACACGAGCAUGUUCACUGGCUGGCCCUGCAUGCUGCCACAAGCCCUGGACCUGCAAUUCCCAAAGUCCCCUCUAGCCCAAAUGCCACUUUUCAGGGAUCGGCAGAAGGAAGGGUUGUCCACACUCUUCCCAGGCCGCAUAGAGCUCCUGGAAUCAUCACAUGCCUUUGAGUGGCGCUUCUGGUACUGGGUGAGCUUGAGCACAAGCGCGCGCACACAACACAACUGCCUGCUGGGUAAGCUUGCACACACACACACACACACACACACACACACACACACCUGCCUGCUGGGUGAGCUUGCAUACACACGUAACACACACACAACUUGCCUGCUGGGUAGGUUUGCACAAACACCCUCCACACACACCCCACACACCCCUGCUGGGUUAUCUUGCACACACACACACACACACACACUUCUGCUGGGUGAUCUUGCACACACACGUAACACACACACACACACACCUGCUGGGUGAGCUUACACACGUAACACACACACACACACACACACACACCUGCUGGGUGAGCUUACACGCACACACACCUGCCUGCUCUGGGCAGUGGUUAUGGAGUCACAUCUCUACUCCCCACCAGGGUACCAAAGAAAGAAGUACGUGUGAAAACAGGUCAUCCCACAGCACUCAAAGCAAAUCCAUGAAGCAACCCUUUCCCAGCCCUCCUCCCCAAAGCCCAGGGGCCUUAGAAAUGGAUAGCUUCCUGUCUUUCUUCCUCAAUUCUAUUUGGUCUGUGCUUCUGAGGGCAGAGAACUGUUGUCAUGGAAACCCCUCCUUGGAUGCCAGACACCUUCUGUGAAGCAACAGGACUAGGAACUCCAAGAUCCUGGGUUCUUUCAGACCCUGACCUCGGACCAUCUUAAUUGUUUUACUCUGUCCAUUCUCUCCUGGAGGGCUGAAUGGUGAGGGCAGCUGAAUGUUUGGGGAGUCAACGGACUGACUUUGCUUGAAUCUUUAGAUGGAGGACUGAUGAGCUGAACUGGAGGCAGUACAGCACUACCUCUGCAGACUUCCCACCUCUCUCCUCCAUCAGAGAGUGAAGCUCCUUGGCCUCCAUGAGGCCUGCUCUAAAACCUGCUCUCCUGGCCCAGGACCAGUACACACCACCUUCCUCAGACCCCUCCACACAGGUUGGAGGCCGGCGGCCCACCGGGGACACGGCUGUCCACGCUGCCGGACUUGAAGACCUUCAGCUCUGCUGCGCUGGCCUUGGCCAUACUGCCACCGCCGACCGCCGCCUUGGCGCGCUUGGGCAGCAUGCCUCUGCCGUCCGCCGCGGCCGCCUUUCUGCUGGCUCCCCGAGGCUCGUCCGCGCCCUCGUCGCCGCCGCUGCCGCUGCCGCCGCUCAGCUCCACCUCGGGCUGCACGCUCUUGACGCUGCUGCCCAGCAUUCUGCCUGCCAGGAGCGCAUGGACGAUCCGCGCGUC
Long non-coding RNA from Peromyscus eremicus (cactus mouse), 2240 nucleotides. RefSeq lists it as uncharacterized. The record is from RefSeq and is a predicted model, not a curated record. NCBI's taxonomy places the organism in Eukaryota, Metazoa, Chordata, Mammalia, Rodentia, Cricetidae. The transcript is spliced from 3 exons.